GAGGAUGGCCAGCUUCAACCUGGAGAUCCCUGAAGCUUUGACCAAGGAGGUUGACAGUGAAGCGUUCCUAUUAGCGACUACAGCUAUCUAACCUUAGUUCCUCCUGCUGCAGUUUCGGUCCCUUUCUCCUCCUCCUCCAGCAACCACGCCCUCCAUGAAUCAGCUUCUUGCACCAGCAGAUGAGCCCUUUAAAGGGAUUGCAUCAGGGAUAACGCUUGGGGGAUCACUGUGAGGACUUGGAGUUAUGGAAACAGCUUUUUGCAAGACCCAGCGAAUGCUCAUACUCAUCUCAGUUAAAGGGCUUCAAUGAGGUGGGUGACCAAAAGACAGGCAUAAAGAAGGCCCCAGCCCACCAAGCUCCUCUCUCUGACAAAACAAAAAGCCUAGGGAUUCCGGAAGCUCUGACUCUGACAAAAAUGAGUUUUGGGUUUUCCAGAGCUCUAAUUAUCAGCUAGAUGAAUCACUCUGUGCUGACACCACCAUCCCUACCCCCAGGAGACUCUCAGCUGAUUGAAAAUACAGGAUUUUAACAAAGGAGAGGAAGAGAAACGGAAAGCUGGGAGGAGAAGAAGUAAUGAAUAGAAACCAAAGGUGUCAGCCAGAGGAAAUGAGAAACUGUCAUCAGGACACCAGCAUGAGGAGAACGCUGGGACACACACACACACACACACACUCUCACACUCACGCUGACAUACUCUUGCUGGCUCUCCAACUCUGGGCUUACUGGCAGACGGUGCUGCCAUAACAAAGUGUCGCCUGUCACAACAGCAUGAGAUCGUUGCUUGACGAGAUAUAGGCAGAUCUGCCUAUCACAGAAAGAGGGAAAGAGGCCUUCAACCCCUAGGGGCUUCCUCAGGCUUCUGAACCCCAGUCUCCCUUACUGGUUGGCUCUGGCUUCUCUUUGUCACCAAAUCGCAAGGCCUAAGUCUGGCAAAUUCGGAGUGUCAGACCUACACUCUGUGGCUAGGUACCACCACUGUGAUGAACAAAGGCACCCCUUAUCAUACUCUAUCAUCAGUAUGAUGCCAAGAGUGCUGGGAAACGGAAUAGCACGGUAGUUAAGAUCAUGGAGUUGGAAUCAUACAGACCUGAGUUCAAAUCCCCAUUCUGUUGUUCACCUUGAGCAGGUCACGUAACUUCUUUGAGCCUGUUUGCUCAUCUGUAAAAUGGUGCUAUUAAUAUAUGGGUUUUUUAUAAUGAUACAAUAAGAUUACUUUCAGGGCCGGGCACAGUGGCUCAAGCCUGUAAUCCCAGCACGUUGGGAGGCCAAGGUGGGUGGAUUGUCUGAGGUCAGAAGUUUGAGACCAGCCUGGCUAACAUGGCAAAACCCCAUCUCUACUAAAAAUACAAAAAUUAGCUGGGCGUG
Macaca fascicularis (crab-eating macaque) is the source of this 1366-nucleotide long non-coding RNA. The record is from Ensembl. Lineage: Eukaryota; Metazoa; Chordata; Mammalia; Primates; Cercopithecidae.